Long non-coding RNA from Sinocyclocheilus grahami, 317 nucleotides. RefSeq lists it as uncharacterized. The record is from RefSeq and is a predicted model, not a curated record. NCBI's taxonomy places the organism in Eukaryota, Metazoa, Chordata, Actinopteri, Cypriniformes, Cyprinidae. The transcript is spliced from 3 exons.
CUGCACCAGUACAGGUGAGACGGCGGGAGUCACGUGACCAGAGGCUCAACGUCCAGGUGAGACGGCGGGAGUCAGUCAGACAGACAGCUGCUGUUCCUGACAGAACACACAGCAAACAACAACGAGCUGGCAUGUAAUUCACGGAAUAAAUCUCUUCAUCAUGAAUUCAAGCGGUGGAUUAGGCCUAUCAGACGAUGAAGAUAAGAUUACUAUUUUAUCUUGGAUCUACGUCUCGACUUUGAGUUUAAGUCUGAUAGGUAGUUGUUCUGUCGUUGUGGUUUCCAUCAUAAAGAGAAGGCAUCUCAAUGAACAGGUGA